UAUGUGAUCGUCUCUCGCAUAUCAAUAAGCGGAGGAAAAGAAACUAACAAGGAUUCCCCUAGUAACGGCGAGUGAAGCGGGAAGAGCUCAAAUUUGAAAUCUUAAAGGGUUUCCCUUUACGAAUUGUAGUUUAAAGGAGUGUUUUCUGUUGAGGUUUUGGUAAAAGUUCUUUGGAAUAGGACAUCAUAGAGGGUGAGAAUCCCGUAUUUGACCUUUACUUUCAACUUUGUGAUACACUUUCAAAGAGUCGGAUUGUUUGGGAAUGCAGUCCAAAAUGGGUGGUAAAUUUCAUCUAAAGCUAAAUAUUGGCGAGAGACCGAUAGCGAACAAGUACCGUGAGGGAAAGAUGAAAAGAACUUUGAAAAGAGAGUUAAACAGUACGUGAAAUUGUCAAAAGGGAAGCGUUUGACACCAGUGUUGUUUUUCUGAAAAUCAAUUAAAGAACUGUUUAUGCUAAGUUGUUUAGACUUUAUCAGCUAACUGUUUAGUUUUGAGCUUUUCUUUAAUGCACUUUUCAGUUAACAAGUCAACAUCAAUUUCUUUUGCUGUAAAAAAGCUUGAGGAAGGUGGCUUGAGAUUCGUCUUAAGUGUUUAUAGCCUCUUGCCUAUGCAGUCGGAGAGAUUGAGGUCUGCAGCGUAGAUCCUUCGGGGCUAAAUGCAUUUGUGCUAAGUUAUAGCAUUUUAUAGACAACUUGUUGACUAUGAUUUGUCUUGUAGCUUACUCGCUUAUGUUAUUUUACCUACGCUUAGGAUGUUGACGAGACUGUCGAUCUC
RNAcentral lists this ribosomal RNA (774 nucleotides) under uncultured Neocallimastigales. RNAcentral describes it as "partial large subunit ribosomal RNA". It matches the Rfam family "Eukaryotic large subunit ribosomal RNA", at positions 24 to 646 of the family's 3401-position model. Lineage: Eukaryota; Fungi; Neocallimastigomycota; Neocallimastigomycetes; Neocallimastigales. The record is from RNAcentral.